RNAcentral lists this non-coding RNA (23 nucleotides) under Arabidopsis thaliana (thale cress). Lineage: Eukaryota; Viridiplantae; Streptophyta; Magnoliopsida; Brassicales; Brassicaceae. The record is from RNAcentral.
UUAUGUGUAGAUAGCGGGUACCA